Molecule: small RNA, 2070 nt
Filed under: Pongo abelii (Sumatran orangutan)
Lineage: Eukaryota; Metazoa; Chordata; Mammalia; Primates; Hominidae
Description: retained intron
Source: RNAcentral
GCAGGCCAGGACUAGUUCCACGGCCCUGAGCAUGCGUUAGCCCCUUCUUGCCUCCAUGCCUCAGUUUACCUCGGAGUGAGCUGCGGGAGACGUCUCCCUGCCUGGCCGGGGCGGCUCUGUCGUAGCGGAGGGCAGCGGUGGUGCAGAGCCGGAGCCGGAGCCGUGCCGCGCCGCACCAUGGCACCCACCCUGGCAACUGCCCAUCGGCGCCGCUGGUGGAUGGCCUGCACGGCCGUGCUGGAAAACCUCCUCUUCUCGGCAGUCCUCCUGGGCUGGGGCUCGCUGCUCAUCAUGCUCAAGUCGGAGGGCUUUUACUCCUACCUGUGUACCGAGCCAGAGAACGUCACCAAUGGCACAGUGGGCAGCACAGCAGAACCGGGGCACGAGGAGGCGAGCUGGAUGAACGGCUGGCUCAGCUGCCAGGCCCAGGACGAGAUGCUAAAUUUGGCCUUCACUGUGGGCUCCUUUCUGCUCAGUGCCAUCACCCUGCCCCUGGGUAUCGUCAUGGACAAGUAUGGCCCGAGGAAGCUCAGGCUGCUGGGCAGCGCCUGCUUUGCGGUUUCCUGCUUGCUGAUUGCGUAUGGAGCAAGUAAACCAAACGCUCUCUCCGUGCUCAUCUUCAUCGCCCUGGCUCUGAAUGGCUUUGGUGGGAUGUGUAUGACCUUCACCUCAUUAACACUGCCCAACAUGUUCGGCGACCUUCGGUCCACGUUUAUUGCCUUGAUGAUUGGGUCCUACGCCUCCUCGGCAGUCACCUUUCCAGGAAUCAAGCUCAUCUACGAUGCUGGUGUCUCCUUCAUCAUCAUCCUCGUGGUCUGGGCCGGCUGUUCCGGGCUGGUUUUCCUCAACUGCUUCUUUAACUGGCCCCUGGAGCCCUUCCCGGGGCCGGAGGACAUGGACUACUCGGUGAAGGUCAAGUUCAGCUGGCUGGGCUUCGACCACAAGAUCACAGGGAAGCAGUUCUACAAGCAGGUGACCACGGUGGGCCGGCGCCUGAGCGUGGGCAGCUCCAUGAGGAGUGCCAAGGAGCAGGUGGUACUGCAGGAGGGCCACAAGCUAUGCCUGUCCACCGUCGACCUGGAGGUGAAGUGCCAGCCGGAUGCCGCAGCGGCCCCCUCCUUCAUGCACAGCGUGUUCAGCCCCAUCCUGCUGCUCAGCCUCAUCACCAUGUGCGUCACACAGCUGCGGCUCAUCUUCUACAUGGGGGCCAUGAACAACAUCCUCAAGUUCCUGGUCAGCGGCGACCAGAAGACAGUUGGCCUCUACACCUCCAUCUUUGGCGUGCUCCAGCUGCUGUGCCUGCUGACGGCCCCCGUCAUCGGCUACAUCAUGGACUGGAGGCUGAAGGAGUGUGAAGACGCCUCCGAGGAGCCCGAGGAGAAAGACGCCAACCAGUGCGUAGGCAGGGCCUGUGCCCUGGUUCCCAGCCCGCAGCCCCUGCAGAAAGACCCCAGAGCUGCAUGUCAGGCACAGGGUGGGUGGGUCAGAGGGAGAGAGCAAUGCACUCCAGCUCCUCCCGGAGCCCUUAGAGAGACUCACUCAUUCAGCUCAGCAUGCAUUUCAACUGCUCCCCUCUUUAUGGAAAUUCUUUGGAAUUCUAUGGAAAUGCUAAAGUUUGAGGCCAGGUGCGGUGACUCAUGCCUGUAAUCCCAGCACUUUGAAAGGCUGGGGUAGGAAGAUCACUCGAGGCCAGGAGUUGGAGACCAGUCUGGGAAACAUGGCCAGCCCCGACUCCCCGUCUCUACAAAAAAAUUUAAAAAUUGGCCAGGGAUGGUGGUUCAUGCCUAUAAUACCAACACUUUGGAAGGUUGAGGUGAAUGAAUUGCUUGAGCCCAGGAGUUAGUGACCAGCCUGGACAAUGUGAUGAAACCCCGUCUCUACUAAAAAUACAAAAAAUUAGCCAGGUGCGGUGGCGGCGUGCGCGCCUGUGAUCCCAGCUACUCAGGAGGCUGAGGCAUGAGAAUUGCUUGAACCCGGGAGGUGGAGGUUGCAGUGAGCCGAGAUCACGCCAUUGCACUUCCAGCCUGGGCAACAGAGCGAGACUCUGUCUCAAAAAGAAAAAACAAAAAA